Myotis davidii is the source of this 46-nucleotide non-coding RNA. Lineage: Eukaryota; Metazoa; Chordata; Mammalia; Chiroptera; Vespertilionidae. The record is from Rfam.
CCAAAGGCUCUUUUCAGAGCCACUUAGACACUUUCUAAAAGGGCCG